Molecule: ribosomal RNA, 213 nt
Filed under: uncultured bacterium
Lineage: Bacteria
Description: partial 16S ribosomal RNA
Rfam family: Bacterial small subunit ribosomal RNA
Source: RNAcentral
UCGAACCUGCCGAUGACUCGGGGAUAGCCUUUCGAAAGAAAGAUUAAUACCCGAUGGCAUAGUUCUUCCGCAUGGUAGAACUAUUAAAGAAUUUCGGUCAUCGAUGGGGAUGCGUUCCAUUAGGUUGUUGGCGGGGUAACGGCCCACCAAGCCUUCGAUGGAUAGGGGUUCUGAGAGGAAGGUCCCCCACAUUGGAACUGAGACACGGUCCAA